CGCGCAGGCGGUCGUCCAAGUCGCGUGUGAAAGCCCCCCGGCUCAACUGGGGAGGGUCACGCGAUACUGAUCGACUCGAAGGCAGGAGAGGGUAGUGGAAUUCCCGGUGUAGUGGUGAAAUGCGUAGAUAUCGGGAGGAACACCAGUGGCGAAGGCGACUACCUGGCCUGUUCUUGACGCUGAGGCGCGAAAGCUAGGGGAGGCAAACG
This 209-nucleotide ribosomal RNA is filed under the name uncultured bacterium. Its description in RNAcentral is "partial 16S ribosomal RNA". It matches the Rfam family "Bacterial small subunit ribosomal RNA", at positions 568 to 775 of the family's 1533-position model. The record is from RNAcentral.